UGUAAAGGAACUCCAAAAUAAACCUCUCCCAGGAACACAUUUUUCCUUCCUCUGGCAACCAAAAGUGCCCGAAGCCCUCAGUUUAUUUCGGUAGCCCCGUUGGCAAUGUGCCUCCUUCUGGCAAUCAUUGCUCAUUUCGCUCACUCAUCUGCACCCCUCACAUUGAUCUGUGUUGCCCUGGACACCAGGUAUGCAAACAGAAAACUCAGCUCUGGAGCCCAGAUGGUCCACCUGGGCCGGGGAGAGGUGAUGUGAGGAGCCAGGGUUUUGGAGUAACAGCGGUUCCAGGUGAACGAUUUGGAUCCAUACACUGUUGUGUAUGUGAUGGAUAGAAACAGGGACUCACAGUGAUGAGAGCUCAUGGAUUCACGUCUACUAUCUGUACAAAGGGAAAUGAACAAACCCGCUAAAACUGUCGGACGCACGUCAAACGCCGACAAAGCCGUGUUUCAGCCGCAUACCUCCACAGCCAAGCCCGGGCCUGGAAAGCGUCCAGCGUGACCUACAGAUACCAACGUGUUAUCUGUUGGCAUUCGUCGAGCAACGUGUUCUGGACUGGAGGUUAAUGAACACCACAGGAGGGUCUGUCCAAAGGAUGGCUGUCCACUGGGGUGAAUCAGACGGCGUUCUAAGACACAGGAAUUGGCAGCUCUGCUGUUUCCACCGCUGCAAUGUGGCAGGAUCGCCUGAAGGCAUCAUGGGAGGAAGGGACAAAGAUGAAGAGAGCAUCUGUUUCCCAAACAACAGGUAUCAGAAGGAAGGAGCCUGGUAUUGGUGAGACUGUUCCCGUCACUCAGAGAAGCCUUCAAAUGCUGGAGCCUGGCAAAGUGGUUUUCCAUCAUCGCUCCUAUGUUCUGUGAUGCGGACAGCAGGUAGGCGCAGUGUGACUGCUCUGCUUUUAUUCUGACAGACAAAGAGAAAAGAGAAAGAGACUGGUUAAAAUGAAUUUAAAAAAAAAAAGAAUUGAUAAUCGUACGCAUUUUUAGCUUAGCAUUUUUGCAGCCAGAAAUCAAUGAUUUCACAGAGAGGAAUUCAGCAUUGCUUUGUUAAUCAAGGUCAGGCCCAAACACAGGAAGUUGAGUUUAACCAUGAUGGACGUAAAUCCUCAGACCUGGUAACUACCCAGUACUCUCACGCCUGACAGGCUUUUCAUCCCUCACAUGUAUUCGCCAGGCUCUUUUCCACUAGCCUUGAUAAGUCCAGACACACAACACAUGGCUGGGAAUUUCAACUGUUUACACGCCGUUGCCCUCACGCAUUGUUCAUUUCUCUUACUUGCUAAGGUUAGCAAUGACAAAAAUGCUUAGCUUUCGGUCAGGUGGUAGGUCAUGUAAUGGUUUCUGAUGUUGCGUCAAGAUUCCUCACAGGCAGGUACAGGUGCAUGAACACUUGAAGUGAAUUGUGAGACUUUGUAAAACAAAGCACCGUCAUUCAUUUGUCAUUUUUCUGAUUGGCUGGU
Molecule: long non-coding RNA, 1459 nt
Organism: Cynoglossus semilaevis (tongue sole)
Lineage: Eukaryota; Metazoa; Chordata; Actinopteri; Pleuronectiformes; Cynoglossidae
Exons: 4
Source: RefSeq, a predicted model, not a curated record